UGAAGUUUGGGUCGAUAUUAUAU
Molecule: small nuclear RNA, 23 nt
Filed under: Arabidopsis thaliana (thale cress)
Lineage: Eukaryota; Viridiplantae; Streptophyta; Magnoliopsida; Brassicales; Brassicaceae
Description: snRNA_09032
Source: RNAcentral